RNAcentral lists this long non-coding RNA (4013 nucleotides) under Homo sapiens (human). Its description in RNAcentral is "lncAB237.2". Lineage: Eukaryota; Metazoa; Chordata; Mammalia; Primates; Hominidae. The record is from RNAcentral.
CUUAGCGAGGCCAUGGGGGAAAAAGUCUAACUGGCGGAACUCCUGGGAACUGGGGCGAUGGGCUCUUAGUAUCGGAGGAUUGGAGCCAUCUGAUUUUUACCUGAAAUUCCUUAGUCUCUCCUGUGUUGGGGAAAUGAGACCGGGACUUGCUGUGUUGCCCAGGCUGGUCUUGAACUCCUGGUCUUAAGCAAUCAUACUGCUUUGGCCACCCAAAGCACUGGGAUUACAGGCGUGAACCACCACACCCAGCUCUUAAAACCACAGUAUUUCUAGAUUAAUAAGUACCUUGAAGAUGGGGUGCAGUCCUGGGAGGCACCGCAUGGUGGCGACAGCGAUGACCUCAGCCACCAGGUGAGUGUUCAGCAAGUGAUACUGGAUCUCGUGCAGUUGGAAAUCUGAAUUUCGGACCCAGGACUUUGCCAGGAGCCAGGCAAGUGGGGGGUCUGAGGGCAGGAACAGUGUUGGGGUUGGAGAGCUGGGGUUGGGAGGCUGAAUCUGGGAGAAAGAGAAAUUAUUGAACUCCCAUUCCGUAUAUGACAUUAUAGUCAGCAUUCUUGGGGAAACAGAGAUGACUAAGUAAGAUUAUUGCCUUCUAGGAGGUUAUAGUCUAGCAGGAGGACUGUGAACCCUCCCAGCCUGCCGCUCGCUAGCUGGAGUGCCCUGAUGUCAGGUGGAAGGCAGGAGGGACUGGAAGAAGGGGGUCCAGAAGGAGGCCCUAACAGUGGUGUGGGAGAAACCUGCUGCUUUGGGGUCGGCGCUCAGAUGGUGGUGGAAUGUGAAGGAGAAGUAGGAGGUGUAAGAUUAUUGACAGUUCUUGUCACCUGACUGUUAAGAAUAGUGAGAGAAGGCCAGGUGCAGUGGCUCACACCUGUAAUCCCAGCACUUUGGGAGGCCGAGGCAGGCAGAUUACUUGAGCCCAGAAGUUCAAGACCAGCCUGGGCAAUAUGGCGAAACCCCAUCUCUACAAAAAAUACAAAAAUUAGCCAGGCCCACAUGGUGGCACAUGCCUGUGGUCCCAGCUACUGGAGGGACUGAGGUGGGAGAAUUGCUUGAACCCAGGAGGCGCAGGUUGCAGUGAGCCAAGAUCACACAACUGUAUUCCAGCCUGAGUGACACAGUGAGAUUCUGUCUCAAAAAAAAAAAAGAAAUUGCGAGAAAAGAUAUUCAAGAGAUGGCGAGGGUUCAGAGCCAGAGGCCACUGAGAGAUGAGAUAGUGAUUCUGAAAGUGUAGUCCUGAACUGGUAGUGUCAGCAUCACUUUGGAACUUAUAAAAACGCAAACUCUUAGUUCCCACCCCAGACAUACUGAAUCAGAAAGUCUGGUCAUGGGAUCCAGAAAUCUGCAUUUCAACAGGCAUUCAGGUGAUUCUGAUGCACACUGAAGUGUGAGGACCAUUGGAUACAGGAUGAGAACUCCAGGAGGCCAUUUUGACUCUUGAAAAAGUAAUUCUAGUUGGAUGAGGCAGGGGAGACGAGGGUACAGGCAAAUAGUGACAUGAAGACAAGUCUCACUGAGUGAGGAUGGGGUUUGGGAGCCAAGAGCUGGGGGUUGGGUCCCUGGGAGCAGAGGUUGAGGUGAACAGAGUGCAACGUUGUGGGAGAGGUCUGGGGCCCUUACCUGGAUGACCAUGGGCUGCAGCUUCCCAUUGGGCUCCAUCUUCAGCAUAACGAGGGGGGCAGCCAGGUAUUGCUUCUCUCCUCGGAUCACGUUGGCUGGAAUUCCAUCCAGAAGGAUGAAGUCAGCUUCAAACAGGGAACCAUUCUGGGGACAGGAGGGAUCCCCGCAGCAGUUCCCGAGACCUUGUGCCUCCUUCCCCGACGCCGCCUGCUCACCGGUGCCCUCGGGCAGGCUCAGGAUGUCCUCGCCCUGCACCCAGCGGUAGCACGGGAAGGCCACCUCCGCGCAGGCUCCAGGGCCCUGCACCGUGAUGCGGUCGCAGAACCACGCGUCGUCCACCAGCCAGUGGUGCUUGCGCAGCCUCACGAACUGCAGGAGCCCCAAGUCCUCUGCAACGUCAUGAUCAAACUCCUCCUCCUGUGCAGGCCGGACCCAGGCCAGACUUAGUAGGAGGGACCCGACUGAGGCCGUUUCGAGGACAGAGCCGCGCUCCUGUGCAACCUCAGUUUCUCAGGGCCUCCAAAGACAGCAUCGCCUCGUUCCCGCCCCCGCACAACCUGCUCUUUGGGUCUCAGACGCCCGGAGUCGGGUGGAGGACGAGGGCCCGCAGCGCCUGGAGCUGAUGCUGGAGCAGCAUCGCCCACGUGGGUCCCAUUAACUGAGCUCUCCCCGCGCCGGUUCUUGGAGGAGCUUCACGUCUGACCUCUGGCCUCAUACUUACAUUGGCUCUGGGUCACUGGGAGAAGGAGCUGGGGGCUGCCGGGACCAGGGGCGGGAAAGGGAGAUGGGGUUGAGCCCAGCCCGGGAUCCCAGCUGCGGACCCUGUCCCUAAUCUUGCCCACCUCGUCCCAGCUUCGUGGAAGUCCCAGUCCGCGAGGUCGCGCUGUCACCUCGCCCCCAGCCUCCCGCCCUCCCGCCGCGAGCCCAGCUCGGCCCGGGCCUGGGCCCGGGGUCCCCGCUGCCCUAGCUCCCCUCGCUCCCCGCGCUGACCUCGCCCCGCGCGGGCCGCAGCUGCAGCUCCAGCUCCGCCUCCCCGCGCGUCCCGACCAGCCAAAGCUGCACGCGGUUGUACGACCCGGAGAAGAGCCAGGCCCCGGUGGCCACGCGGAUGCGGUAGCGGCCCAUGGCGCCCCCCAGCAGCUUAGGCGAGGGGAGCCGGGUCCUGUGCGAUUCCCGGGACCGCCCAGGGCUGCCGGCGCCUCGGGGCCACUUCCAACCUUUAAAGGACCGGUCUGCGGCCCCGCCCUCCUCGCAAGUUUUAGGCGCUCCCAAGUCCCCGCCCCAGACUAGCCCAAACCUGCGAGCAGAGCGGUAGAGCCGGCUGUGGGGACUGGCUGUGCCUCCUGGUCGGAGCGUAGCUGCAGGAUGAUAAAGGGGCCCGAGCCAGGGUGAGGCCAACGGGGUGGGUGCGGCGGGACCUUCCUGGACCUCCCGGGAAGGCGGGAUCGAGGUGGGCCUGAGCCCCCGGGUUGGAGCGAACAUAGAUGAGAACACUUCCCGAGGUCUCCAGGUCUUCUGGGGAGCCAGGAGGAAGUAGGGGAUGAGUCCAUCUUCCAAACGGAGGGGAAGGUCUCCGCUUUUCUGGGCUGGGACCCGGGGAAGGCAGUGGGCCGGCUUCUGGAAGGUCGGCCUGGGAGGCCGUGCUGGGGUCUGGGGAUGUCCCGCGGCUAGACCCGGCGCGGCCCAUGUGUCCUCCAGUACCUGAGCUCUGCCGCCCUUGAACGCUGUGCUUCCGUCAACGACCAGGGGUUCCCCAGGGUACCUAGAACCUGGAAAUGUAGCAGCUCAACACCCGCUCCCCACCCCGUUUCAAAUAUCUGGGCGCUGGGGUCCCAAUGUACACCAAAUAUCAUGGGCCAGACCUUUGAGAGAGGCCUGAGGCAGGGCAGUGAAAAACUCAUUUUGUCCAACCUCCGAAGCGGGUACAGACAAUGUUAGGGACCCAGGAACACCAGUCGGGGUGUUAGGGUGCGGGAUGGAAUUGCUUAGGGACCUGGCCUACGUGGCCAGUUCCCAAGAACUUUGUCUUUUCCAGGUGAGUGCAGCCCCUUCCGCUCCAGUAGGUUCCAGAUUAAUUUUUUAUCCCCAAGCUCUUUCCUGCUCCUUCAUGGGUCUCAGGUCUCCUGGAAAUCCAGGAACAGCAAUUAGCCCACUGCUAUUUAGGGCCUUUGUAAACAUUGAAGGAUGAUUCGGAGCUUAGGCUUUCUCUCCCGUGUCAGGAAUCAGUCAGAUGAAGCCUGCUGCACGCGUCCCUGUCUAGAUCUUGAUUCAAGUGAUUAUAUGCAUUUGGAUCUCCGUGGAUGCAUCUGGUGGCCUGGGCUAGGCCAGUGUCCACUCUGGCCUACAUCCUCUGCUCAGGACUGCAGGUCGGCCAUUUGCUGGUCCCCAGUUCUUCC